GAUGAACGCUGGCGGCGUGCCUAAUACAUGCAAGUCGAGCGAACAGAUGAGGAGCUUGCUCCUCUGACGUUAGCGGCGGACGGGUGAGUAACACGUGGAUAACCUACCUAUAAGACUGGGAUAACUUCGGGAAACCGGAGCUAAUACCGGAUAAUAUAUUGAACCGCAUGGUUCAAUAGUGAAAGACGGUUUUGCUGUCACUUAUAGAUGGAUCCGCGCCGCAUUAGCUAGUUGGUAAGGUAACGGCUUACCAAGGCAACGAUGCGUAGCCGACCUGAGAGGGUGGUCGGCCACACUGGAACUGAGACACGGUCCAGGGUCCUACAGGAGGCAGCAGUAGGGAAUCUUCCGCAAUGGGCGAAAGCCUGACGGAGCAACGCCGCGUGAGUGAUGAAGGUCUUCGGAUCGUAAAACUCUGUUAUUAGGGAAGAACAAAUGUGUAAGUAACUAUGCGCGUCUUGACGGUACCUAAGCAGAAAGCCACGGCUAACUACGUG
This 497-nucleotide ribosomal RNA is filed under the name uncultured bacterium. Its description in RNAcentral is "partial 16S ribosomal RNA". It matches the Rfam family "Bacterial small subunit ribosomal RNA", at positions 28 to 507 of the family's 1533-position model. The record is from RNAcentral.